UGGAAUCUACUCAACUACUUGAGAAUUGUGACUUCUUUUUAUGUUACUAUUUAACGUAAAGCUUCAGAACUUGAGCCAAAUCGCUGGUAUAUCCAUAAGGAAAGGUUUAGGACUUUUCAAGAUUAACCAAAAUAAUUUUAUUACACCAUUAAAAGAGAAAUGCUAAGGGAGUACGGUGCAACCUUUUUCAAGAAUAUCAUAUGGAUUUUUCCUUAUUCCAGGUAUGUUAAGGCUAUCCCUUCUUUCUUUUGGCAUGAUCCAUAUGAUAAGAACGAAACGUGCAAAUGCAAAAAUUUCAUAAAUGACUCCAUUCAAAAAGUAUUAGAGAUAUCUAUGUUCCUGAAUUUCCAUGUGUCAUAAUAUUAUUAUUUCCUGUUCAUGGGUCUCAGAAUAAUACGUAGUUGAAAAAAUUUAUCCGGAAAGAAUAUUGAGAUUAUUACAUAUUUUUCAUACAUUUCAUACAUGUGCAUUGACCCAUGACCAGAUGGCGUUAUAUACCCAUAUAUAUGUAAAUAUAUGUAUAUGGAUAUGGGAAAAGGUUACGGCGUUACCACCACCUGAUCAGUUGGUAUAUGAUUAUGAUGUUACCCACGGUGGCUGAAAUAUGAUUCAAACGACGUUAUAUACGCGUAUAUAUGUAUGUAUAUAUAUAUAUGUAUAUGGGAUAUGGGAAAGGGUAUAACGUUAUAGACGCACCACCACCUGAUCAACUGGUAUACGAUGAUGAUUUUGCCCACAGUGGUUGAUAUGAUAUGAUGGGAUGCCCUCAGAGGCUGAUGAUGUUAUGAAACAUGUACCUAUGCACGACAUGACAUUCAUACGCAUAUGAAUGAAGCUAAAAGUAAUUUAUGAUUUACAUAGUUAUUCAGACUGAUAGGUUGAGUCAUGUACUCUAUAUUUCUUCCAUGUCUCUUAUGUAUUUAUUUAUGUGCCUUACAUACUUGGUACAUUAUUCAUACUGAUGUCCCUUUUGCUUGGGGACACUGUAUUUCAUGUCCGCAGGUCCCGAUAGACCGGUCGAGUACCCUCCAAGUAGGCUAUUAACUCAGUGGAAGAUGUUGGUGUGCUCCAUUUGCUUUGGAGUUUCUUAUUUGGUUAGUAUGAUUUAGACGUGUAUUGUUUGGUAUGGCGGGACUCUGUCUCGACCUUUAUGAUAUUUAUAUAUUCUUAGAGGCUUGUAGACAUAUGUCGUGUACGUGAAAGAUUGUAUGGCCUUGUCGGCCUAUGUUUUGAGUUUAUAAAUAAUUAC
RNAcentral lists this long non-coding RNA (1249 nucleotides) under Nicotiana tabacum (common tobacco). RNAcentral's name for it is "long non-coding RNA (NTAB_LNC017994)". The record is from RNAcentral. Lineage: Eukaryota; Viridiplantae; Streptophyta; Magnoliopsida; Solanales; Solanaceae.